GCCACCGCGGUCAUACAAGAAACCCAAAUUAACUGUAUACGGCGUAAAGAGUGGUAACAUGCUAUCGCACCAACUAGAACCAAAGUACAACCAAGCCGUCACACGCCCAAGAUGUAUCUAAAUUCACCUCAAAAUGAUUCUAGCCACUGUUGAUCAAUUGAAUCCACGAAAGCUAAGACCCAAACUGGGAUUAGAUACCCCACUAUGCCUAGCCUUAAAUCUUGAUGUUUACCUUACCAAAAACAUCCGCCCGGGAACUACGAGCACAAACGCUUAAAACCCUAAGGACUUGGCGGUGUCCUAAAUCCACCUAGAGGAGCCUGUUCUAUAAUCGAUAACCCACGAUGCACCCAACCACCCCUUGCCAAUUCAGCCUAUAUACCGCCGUCGCCAGCUCACCUCCCUUGAGAGAACAGCAGCGAACACAAUAGUUUAACCCACUAGCAAGACAGGUCGAGGUAUAGCCUAUGAGGUGGUAGAAAUGGGCUACAUUUUCUAAAAUAGAAUAACCCACGGAAGAAAGUGUGAAACCACUUCCAAAAGGCGGAUUUAGCAGUAAAGAGGGAUAAUAAUGCCUCCUUUAAACCGGCCCUAGGACACGUACAUACCGCCCGUCACCCUCCUCAUAAGCCCUCAACUACCACUACCUAAUAUCUCCCUUUGGCUAAAGACGAGGCAAGUCGUAACAAGGUAAGUGUACCGGAAGGUGCACUUAGCAUAU
This 721-nucleotide ribosomal RNA is filed under the name Turnix sylvaticus (Andalusian buttonquail). Its description in RNAcentral is "partial 12S ribosomal RNA". It matches the Rfam family "Bacterial small subunit ribosomal RNA", at positions 511 to 1533 of the family's 1533-position model. Lineage: Eukaryota; Metazoa; Chordata; Aves; Charadriiformes; Turnicidae. The record is from RNAcentral.